GGGGGGGGGGGGGGGGGGGGGGGGGGGGGGGGGGGGGGGGGGGGGGGGGGGGGGGGGGGGGGGGGGGGGGGGGGGGGGGGGGGGGGGGGGGGGGGGGGGGGGGGGGGGGGGGGGGCCUAACCAAUCAGCGCCCGCAUCGCAGCGCGCGGGCGAAACCAAACGAGAGCGCGGGCGAUGGAGCGGGUGAGGCCUGAAGGGUCCGGGGGGGACAGAGGGGGGACUUGGGGGAUCCCUGAAGGGAAUCUGGGGGGCUGGCGGGGACCCCGCGUCACUCCCCGCAUCCCCCCCGCAGAAGCUCAGCCUGGAGCAGCGAACGGAGCGUCUGAUGCAAAGGAGGUGGGAGAGCAGCCCGGCCUCAAGUGCCGCUCGGUAUCUCCAGGAGACUGGAGUCAUACUGGGAUCAUUCUGGGAGUAGCUGGAACCACACGGGAGCAACGGGAACCACGCUGGCAGUGACCGGAUGACGUCGGACGAGAGACGGCCCCGGGAGCGGCGAGGGGCGGGGCGCCGGGGGCGGGGCCAUGCAGAUUUAAGCUAAUGAGCGCGCGGCCGCCGCGGCGGGGGGGGGGGGGGGGGGGGGGGGGGGGGGGGGGGGGGGGGGGGGGGGGGGGGGGGGGGGGGGGGGGG
This 627-nucleotide long non-coding RNA is filed under the name Ficedula albicollis (Collared flycatcher). RNAcentral describes it as "lncRNA (ENSFALG00000016412.2)". Lineage: Eukaryota; Metazoa; Chordata; Aves; Passeriformes; Muscicapidae. The record is from RNAcentral.